RNAcentral lists this ribosomal RNA (256 nucleotides) under uncultured bacterium. Its description in RNAcentral is "partial 16S ribosomal RNA". It matches the Rfam family "Bacterial small subunit ribosomal RNA", at positions 524 to 776 of the family's 1533-position model. The record is from RNAcentral.
UACGUAGGGUGCAAGCGUUUAAUCGGAAUUACUGGGCGUAAAGCGUGCGCAGGCGGUUCGUUGUGUCCGAUGUGAAAGCCCCGGGCUUAACCUGGGAAUGGCAUUGGAAACUGGCGAGCUUGAGUGCGGCAGAGGGGGGGUGGAAUUCCACGUGUAGCAGUGAAAUGCGUAGAGAUGUGGAGGAAUACCGAUGGCGAAGGCAGCCUCCGUGGGCCAACACUGACGCUCAUGCACGAAAGCGUGGGGAGCAAACAGG